Molecule: long non-coding RNA, 801 nt
Organism: Periophthalmus magnuspinnatus
Lineage: Eukaryota; Metazoa; Chordata; Actinopteri; Gobiiformes; Gobiidae
Exons: 3
Source: RefSeq, a predicted model, not a curated record
UGUCUUUAACUCGACACGUAUGUGACAAGCGACUCGUUAAAUAAGAGUAAAGGCCUGAAGAUGCUGUGUGAAGUUGUGCUGUCAUCUCUCUGGUUCCUGUUUGUCAUAUUUUGGGUGGAGACUGUAAGUGUGUGGCUGUUCCUCUCCAUGUUCCACCGGGACAGGGCAUUUUACCAGUCUGGAGAUGGAGACGACCACAUUCAAGUGGGGAUGCAGACCUGACAGAGGAAGUCUAAUAUAAUAUAAGUGGCUGCUGGACUGGAGUGUGGUGCUGAAAGACUGAAGUCAGCAAUACCUUGUGCUCAACUUUAUUGAAAAUUAAGAUCCUGUUCUUAAAAUAGGUAAAUAUUGCAUAAAAUCUAUGUGAAGGUGAUGCCAGCCUUAGGGGGGUACAGUGGGGUACCUGCUCUGUGAUGGAGAAAACGUCAUUGUAGCUCAGGGGUCUGUUUGAAAAGGGCAGAGAGCUAGUACAGUUCACAUUUGCAAGAAACUGCAGUGUAUAUAUUUUCCACUAUAAACCUCAUGUAGGUCCAGUGAGUUGCUCAUAAUACAUGAACCAUUAUCAAAAGUGCAUAAAGGUAUGCAUCUGAGGGACACAUAUGACUGGAUGAGAGGUAGCUCUAUAGAUAUGGAGGUAUGUAUUUUUACGUGACCUGGACAUAUAGGGAAUUAUCUUUUGUAAUUUUUCAUGGCCUACUCAAGUAGGAUUGUUAAUUAAAAGACACAUGUUACUUGAAAAUAGUUUGAGAGUUUUUUAUGCAAACAAUUACUGCAAUUUUUUACGUUUCAAAGAAAAGUGAU